RNAcentral lists this microRNA (21 nucleotides) under Medicago truncatula (barrel medic). RNAcentral describes it as "mtr-miR2661". Lineage: Eukaryota; Viridiplantae; Streptophyta; Magnoliopsida; Fabales; Fabaceae. The record is from miRBase by way of RNAcentral.
UAGGUUUGAGAAAAUGGGCAG